RNAcentral lists this ribosomal RNA (457 nucleotides) under uncultured bacterium. RNAcentral describes it as "bacterial SSU rRNA". It matches the Rfam family "Bacterial small subunit ribosomal RNA", at positions 340 to 786 of the family's 1533-position model. The record is from RNAcentral.
UACGGGAGGCAGCAGUGGGGAAUAUUGCACAAUGGGCGAAAGCCUGAUGCAGCUAUGCCGCGUGUAUGAAGAAGGCCUUAGGGUUGUAAAGUACUUUCAUCGGGGAGGAAAAAACAAAACUAAUAAUUUUAUUUCUUGACGUUACCCGAAAAAGAAGCACCGGCUAACUCCGUGCCAGCAGCCGCGGUAAUACGGAGGGUGCUAGCGUUAAUCAGAAUUACUGGGCGUAAGGAGCACGUAGGUGGUUUUUUUAAGUCAGAUGUGAAAUCCCUGGGCUUAACCUAGGAACUGCAUUUUGAAACUGAAAUACUAGAGUAUCGUAGAGGGAGGUAGAAUUCUAGGUGUAGCGGUGAAAUGCGUAGAUAUCUGGAGGAAUACCUGUGGCGAAAGCGGCCUCCUAAACGAAUACUGACACUGAGGUGCGAAAGCGUGGGGAGCAAACGAGGGAUUAGAUACC